Molecule: ribosomal RNA, 253 nt
Filed under: uncultured bacterium
Lineage: Bacteria
Description: partial 16S ribosomal RNA
Rfam family: Bacterial small subunit ribosomal RNA
Source: RNAcentral
UACGAAGGGGGCUAGCGUUGCUCGGAAUCACUGGGCGUAAAGCGCACGUAGGCGGCUUGUUAAGUCAGGGGUGAAAUCCUGGAGCUCAACUCCAGAACUGCCUUUGAUACUGGCGAGCUUGAGUCCGGGAGAGGGAUGCGGAAUUCCAGGUGUAGCGGUGAAAUGCGUAGAUAUCUGGAGGAACACCGGUGGCGAAGGCGGCAUCCUGGACCGGCAUUGACGCUGAGGCGCGAAAGCUAGGGGAGCAAACGGG